RNAcentral lists this ribosomal RNA (253 nucleotides) under uncultured bacterium. Its description in RNAcentral is "partial 16S ribosomal RNA". It matches the Rfam family "Bacterial small subunit ribosomal RNA", at positions 524 to 776 of the family's 1533-position model. The record is from RNAcentral.
GACAGAGGUGCCAAGCGUUAGGCGGAAUCACUGGGCUUAAAGCGUGUGUAGGCGGAUUGGUAAGUACCUUGUGAAAUCCCACGGCUUAACCGUGGAACUGCUUGGUAUACUGCUUAUCUUGGGCCACUUAGGGGCUACCGGAACAAACGGUGGAGCGGUGAAAUGCGUAGAUAUCGUUUGGAACGCCAAUGGUGAAAACAGGUAGCUGGGAGUGUGCCGACGCUGAGACACGAAAGCCAGGGGAGCGAACGGG